Molecule: non-coding RNA, 114 nt
Organism: Acanthosepion pharaonis
Lineage: Eukaryota; Metazoa; Mollusca; Cephalopoda; Sepiida; Sepiidae
Source: the annotation of a GenBank genome assembly
CUACGGCCAUAUGUCGUUGAAAGAUCGGUUCUCGUACGAUCACGUAAGUUAAGCAAUGUCAAGCCUUGUCAGUACCUAGGUAGGUGACUGCUUGGGAAUACCAUGUGCUGUAAG